RNAcentral lists this unclassified non-coding RNA (285 nucleotides) under plant metagenome. Its description in RNAcentral is "partial contains small subunit ribosomal RNA, internal transcribed spacer 1, and 5.8S ribosomal RNA". The stretch from base 1 to 54 matches the Rfam family "Eukaryotic small subunit ribosomal RNA", at positions 1778 to 1831 of the family's 1831-position model. The record is from RNAcentral.
GGAAAUAAAAGUCGUAACAAAGUUUCCGUAGGUGAACCUGCGGAAGGAUCAUUAUUGUAUAACCGAGGUGCGAGGGCUGUCGCUGACCCGAAAGGUCGUGCACGCCCGAGUGCCCUCACACACAUCCAUCUCACCCCUAUGUGCACCACCGCGUGGGUCCCCCUUUGGCUUGUUCGGAGGGGGGCUUACGUUUUCACACAAACUUUGUAUGCAGUGUAGAAUGUAUUUUUUGUUUUUGCGAUCACGCAAUCAAUACAACUUUCAACAACGGAUCUCUUGGCUCUC